GACGAACGCUGGCGGCGUGCUUAACACAUGCAAGUCGAACGGAAAGGCCCUGCUUUUGUGGGGUGCUCGAGUGGCGAACGGGUGAGUAACACGUGAGUAACCUGCCCUUGACUUUGGGAUAACUUCAGGAAACUGGGGCCAAUACCGGAUAGGAGCUCCUGCUGCAUGGUGGGGGUUGGAAAGUUUCGGCGGUUGGGGAUGGACUCGCGGCUUAUCAGCUUGUUGGUGGGGUAGUGGCUUACCAAGGCUUUGACGGGUAGCCGGCCUGAGAGGGUGACCGGCCACAUUGGGACUGAGAUACGGCCCAGACUCCUACGGGAGGCAGCAGUGGGGAAUAUUGCACAAUGGGCGGAAGCCUGAUGCAGCAACGCCGCGUGCGGGAUGACGGCCUUCGGGUUGUAACCCGCUUUCGCCUGUGACGAAGCGUGAGUGACGGUAAUGGGUAAAGAAGCACCGGCUAACUACGUG
RNAcentral lists this ribosomal RNA (468 nucleotides) under uncultured bacterium. Its description in RNAcentral is "partial 16S ribosomal RNA". It matches the Rfam family "Bacterial small subunit ribosomal RNA", at positions 28 to 507 of the family's 1533-position model. The record is from RNAcentral.